ACUGAAAGUGAAGAGUUUGAUCAUGGCUCAGAUUGAACGCUGGCGGCAGGCCUAACACAUGCAAGUCGAGCGGUAGCACAGAGAGCUUGCUCUCGGGUGACGAGCGGCGGACGGGUGAGUAAUGUCUGGGAAACUGCCUGAUGGAGGGGGAUAACUACUGGAAACGGUAGCUAAUACCGCAUAACGUCGCAAGACCAAAGUGGGGGACCUUCGGGCCUCAUGCCAUCAGAUGUGCCCAGAUGGGAUUAGCUAGUAGGUGGGGUAACGGCUCACCUAGGCGACGAUCCCUAGCUGGUCUGAGAGGAUGACCAGCCACACUGGAACUGAGACACGGUCCAGACUCCUACGGGAGGCAGCAGUGGGGAAUAUUGCACAAUGGGCGCAAGCCUGAUGCAGCCAUGCCGCGUGUGUGAAGAAGGCCUUCGGGUUGUAAAGCACUUUCAGCGGGGAGGAAGGCGGUGAGGUUAAUAACCUCAUCGAUUGACGUUACCCGCAGAAGAAGCACCGGCUAACUCCGUGCCAGCAGCCGCGGUAAUACGGAGGGUGCAAGCGUUAAUCGGAAUUACUGGGCGUAAAGCGCACGCAGGCGGUCUGUCAAGUCGGAUGUGAAAUCCCCGGGCUCAACCUGGGAACUGCAUUCGAAACUGGCAGGCUAGAGUCUUGUAGAGGGGGGUAGAAUUCCAGGUGUAGCGGUGAAAUGCGUAGAGAUCUGGAGGAAUACCGGUGGCGAAGGCGGCCCCCUGGACAAAGACUGACGCUCAGGUGCGAAAGCGUGGGGAGCAAACAGGAUUAGAUACCCUGGUAGUCCACGCCGUAAACGAUGUCGAUUUGGAGGUUGUGCCCUUGAGGCGUGGCUUCCGGAGCUAACGCGUUAAAUCGACCGCCUGGGGAGUACGGCCGCAAGGUUAAAACUCAAAUGAAUUGACGGGGGCCCGCACAAGCGGUGGAGCAUGUGGUUUAAUUCGAUGCAACGCGAAGAACCUUACCUGGUCUUGACAUCCACAGAACUUUCCAGAGAUGGAUUGGUGCCUUCGGGAACUGUGAGACAGGUGCUGCAUGGCUGUCGUCAGCUCGUGUUGUGAAAUGUUGGGUUAAGUCCCGCAACGAGCGCAACCCUUAUCCUUUGUUGCCAGCGGUCCGGCCGGGAACUCAAAGGAGACUGCCAGUGAUAAACUGGAGGAAGGUGGGGAUGACGUCAAGUCAUCAUGGCCCUUACGACCAGGGCUACACACGUGCUACAAUGGCAUAUACAAAGAGAAGCGACCUCGCGAGAGCAAGCGGACCUCAUAAAGUAUGUCGUAGUCCGGAUUGGAGUCUGCAACUCGACUCCAUGAAGUCGGAAUCGCUAGUAAUCGUAGAUCAGAAUGCUACGGUGAAUACGUUCCCGGGCCUUGUACACACCGCCCGUCACACCAUGGGAGUGGGUUGCAAAAGAAGUAGGUAGCUUAACCUUCGGGAGGGCGCUUACCACUUUGUGAUUCAUGACUGGGGUGAAGUCGUAACAAGGUAACCGUAGGGGAACCUGCGGUUGGAUCACCUCCUUACCUUAAAGAA
RNAcentral lists this ribosomal RNA (1554 nucleotides) under Klebsiella pneumoniae. RNAcentral describes it as "bacterial SSU rRNA". It matches the Rfam family "Bacterial small subunit ribosomal RNA". Lineage: Bacteria; Pseudomonadati; Pseudomonadota; Gammaproteobacteria; Enterobacterales; Enterobacteriaceae. The record is from RNAcentral.